RNAcentral lists this ribosomal RNA (292 nucleotides) under uncultured bacterium. RNAcentral describes it as "partial 16S ribosomal RNA". It matches the Rfam family "Bacterial small subunit ribosomal RNA", at positions 505 to 796 of the family's 1533-position model. The record is from RNAcentral.
GUGCCAGCAGCCGCGGUAAGACGUAGGGCGCAAGCGUUGUCCGGAUUUAUUGGGCGUAAAGAGCUCGUAGGCGGCUCGUUGCGUCGGCUGUGAAAACCCAUGGCUUAACUGUGGGCUUGCAGCCGAUACGGGCGGGCUGGAGUUCGGUAGGGGAGACUGGAAUUCCUGGUGUAGCGGUGAAAUGCGCAGAUAUCAGGAGGAACACCGGUGGCGAAGGCGGGUCUCUGGGCCGAUACUGACGCUGAGGAGCGAAAGCGUGGGGAGCGAACAGGAUUAGAUACCCGUGUAGUCC